GAUGAAGAACGUAGCGAAAUGCGAUACGUAAUGUGAAUUGCAGAAUUCAGUGAAUCAUCGAAUCUUUGAACGCAUAUUGCGCUCUCUGGUAUUCCGGAGAGCAUGCUUGUUUGAGUAUCAGUAAACACCUCAACUUCCAUAUCUUUUUUGAAAUGGAAGUUGGACUUGAGUGAUCCCAACGCUUUUCCUCACCGAAAAGUGGCGGGUUACUUGAAAUGCAGGUGCAGCUGGACUUUUCUCUGAGCUAUAAGCAUAUCUAUUUAGUCUGCCUAAAAAACAGAUUAUUACCUUUGCUGCAGCUAACAUAAAGGAGAUUAGUUCUUGUGCUGACUGAUGCAGGAUUCACAAAGACAGGCUUCGGCCGACUUUGUAAACUCGAUCUCAAAUCAAGUAAGACUACCCGCUGAACUUAAGCAUAUCAAUAAGCGGAGGA
This 433-nucleotide unclassified non-coding RNA is filed under the name soil metagenome. RNAcentral describes it as "partial contains 5.8S ribosomal RNA, internal transcribed spacer 2, and large subunit ribosomal RNA". The stretch from base 1 to 120 matches the Rfam family "5.8S ribosomal RNA", at positions 35 to 154 of the family's 154-position model. The record is from RNAcentral.